Molecule: ribosomal RNA, 3004 nt
Filed under: Salmonella enterica
Lineage: Bacteria; Pseudomonadati; Pseudomonadota; Gammaproteobacteria; Enterobacterales; Enterobacteriaceae
Description: bacterial LSU rRNA
Rfam family: Bacterial large subunit ribosomal RNA
Source: RNAcentral
UUAAGCGACUAAGCGUACACGGUGGAUGCCCUGGCAGUCAGAGGCGAUGAAGGGCGUGCUAAUCUGCGAUAAGCGCCGGUAAGGUGAUAUGAACCGUUAUAACCGGCGAUACCCGAAUGGGGAAACCCAGUGUGAUUCGUCACACUAUCAUUAACUGAAUCCAUAGGUUAAUGAGGCGAACCGGGGGAACUGAAACAUCUAAGUACCCCGAGGAAAAGAAAUCAACCGAGAUUCCCCCAGUAGCGGCGAGCGAACGGGGAGGAGCCCAGAGCCUGAAUCAGCAUGUGUGUUAGUGGAAGCGUCUGGAAAGGCGCGCGAUACAGGGUGACAGCCCCGUACACAAAAGCGCAUGUGCUGUGAGCUCGAUGAGUAGGGCGGGACACGUGGUAUCCUGUCUGAAUAUGGGGGGACCAUCCUCCAAGGCUAAAUACUCCUGACUGACCGAUAGUGAACCAGUACCGUGAGGGAAAGGCGAAAAGAACCCCGGCGAGGGGAGUGAAAAAGAACCUGAAACCGUGUACGUACAAGCAGUGGGAGCCCCACCACUAAGCCAGUGGUGAACUCCACAUACGCAUCCUUUGCUGAAGGUGCGGUUAACGGAGCGCAAGCGACGUUCAACCUCAAAAGAAGCAGAGGGGGCUUAGUGGUGGGGUGACUGCGUACCUUUUGUAUAAUGGGUCAGCGACUUAUAUUCUGUAGCAAGGUUAACCGUAUAGGGGAGCCGGAGGGAAACCGAGUCUUAAUUGGGCGUUAAGUUGCAGGGUAUAGACCCGAAACCCGGUGAUCUAGCCAUGGGCAGGUUGAAGGUUGGGUAACACUAACUGGAGGACCGAACCGACUAAUGUUGAAAAAUUAGCGGAUGACCUGUGGCUGGGGGUGAAAGGCCAAUCAAACCGGGAGAUAGCUGGUUCUCCCCGAAAGCUAUUUAGGUAGCGCCUCGUGAAUUCAUCUCCGGGGGUAGAGCACUGUUUCGGCUAGGGGGCCAUCCCGGCUUACCAACCCGAUGCAAACUGCGAAUACCGGAGAAUGUUAUCACGGGAGACACACGGCGGGUGCUAACGUCCGUCGUGAAGAGGGAAACAACCCAGACCGCCAGCUAAGGUCCCAAAGUCAUGGUUAAGUGGGAAACGAUGUGGGAAGGCCCAGACAGCCAGGAUGUUGGCUUAGAAGCAGCCAUCAUUUAAAGAAAGCGUAAUAGCUCACUGGUCGAGUCGGCCUGCGCGGAAGAUGUAACGGGGCUAAACCAUGCACCGAAGCUGCGGCAGCGACACUGUGUGUUGUUGGGUAGGGGAGCGUUCUGUAAGCCUGUGAAGGUGGCCUGUGAGGGUUGCUGGAGGUAUCAGAAGUGCGAAUGCUGACAUAAGUAACGAUAAAGCGGGUGAAAAGCCCGCUCGCCGGAAGACCAAGGGUUCCUGUCCAACGUUAAUCGGGGCAGGGUGAGUCGACCCCUAAGGCGAGGCCGAAAGGCGUAGUCGAUGGGAAACGGGUUAAUAUUCCCGUACUUGGUGUUACUGCGAAGGGGGGACGGAGAAGGCUAUGUUGGCCGGGCGACGGUUGUCCCGGUUUAAGCGUGUAGGUGUGUGUUCCAGGUAAAUCCGGUUCACUUUAACACUGAGGCGUGACGACGAGGCACUACGGUGCUGAAGCAACAAAUGCCCUGCUUCCAGGAAAAGCCUCUAAGCAUCAGGUAACAUCAAAUCGUACCCCAAACCGACACAGGUGGUCAGGUAGAGAAUACCAAGGCGCUUGAGAGAACUCGGGUGAAGGAACUAGGCAAAAUGGUGCCGUAACUUCGGGAGAAGGCACGCUGACACGUAGGUGAAGUGAUUUACUCAUGGAGCUGAAGUCAGUCGAAGAUACCAGCUGGCUGCAACUGUUUAUUAAAAACACAGCACUGUGCAAACACGAAAGUGGACGUAUACGGUGUGACGCCUGCCCGGUGCCGGAAGGUUAAUUGAUGGGGUCAGCGCAAGCGAAGCUCCUGAUCGAAGCCCCGGUAAACGGCGGCCGUAACUAUAACGGUCCUAAGGUAGCGAAAUUCCUUGUCGGGUAAGUUCCGACCUGCACGAAUGGCGUAAUGAUGGCCAGGCUGUCUCCACCCGAGACUCAGUGAAAUUGAACUCGCUGUGAAGAUGCAGUGUACCCGCGGCAAGACGGAAAGACCCCGUGAACCUUUACUAUAGCUUGACACUGAACAUUGAGCCUUGAUGUGUAGGAUAGGUGGGAGGCUUUGAAGUGUGGACGCCAGUCUGCAUGGAGCCGACCUUGAAAUACCACCCUUUAAUGUUUGAUGUUCUAACGUGGACCCGUAAUCCGGGUUGCGGACAGUGUCUGGUGGGUAGUUUGACUGGGGCGGUCUCCUCCUAAAGAGUAACGGAGGAGCACGAAGGUUGGCUAAUCCUGGUCGGACAUCAGGAGGUUAGUGCAAUGGCAUAAGCCAGCUUGACUGCGAGCGUGACGGCGCGAGCAGGUGCGAAAGCAGGUCAUAGUGAUCCGGUGGUUCUGAAUGGAAGGGCCAUCGCUCAACGGAUAAAAGGUACUCCGGGGAUAACAGGCUGAUACCGCCCAAGAGUUCAUAUCGACGGCGGUGUUUGGCACCUCGAUGUCGGCUCAUCACAUCCUGGGGCUGAAGUAGGUCCCAAGGGUAUGGCUGUUCGCCAUUUAAAGUGGUACGCGAGCUGGGUUUAGAACGUCGUGAGACAGUUCGGUCCCUAUCUGCCGUGGGCGCUGGAGAACUGAGGGGGGCUGCUCCUAGUACGAGAGGACCGGAGUGGACGCAUCACUGGUGUUCGGGUUGUCAUGCCAAUGGCACUGCCCGGUAGCUAAAUGCGGAAGAGAUAAGUGCUGAAAGCAUCUAAGCACGAAACUUGCCCCGAGAUGAGUUCUCCCUGAGACUUAGAGUCUCCUGAAGGAACGUUGAAGACGACGACGUUGAUAGGCCGGGUGUGUAAGCGCAGCGAUGCGUUGAGCUAACCGGUACUAAUGAACCGUGAGGCUUAACCUU